Molecule: ribosomal RNA, 506 nt
Filed under: uncultured bacterium
Lineage: Bacteria
Description: partial 16S ribosomal RNA
Rfam family: Bacterial small subunit ribosomal RNA
Source: RNAcentral
UGUGAACGCUGGCGGUAGGCCUAACACAUGCAAGUCGAACGGCAGCACAGGAGAGCUUGCUCUCUGGGUGGCGAGUGGCGGACGGGUGAGGAAUACAUCGGAAUCUACUCUGUCGUGGGGGAUAACGUAGGGAAACUUACGCUAAUACCGCAUACGACCUACGGGUGAAAGCAGGGGACCUUCGGGCCUUGCGCGAUUGAAUGAGCCGAUGUCGGAUUAGCUAGUUGGCGGGGGAAAGGCCCACCAAGGCGACGAUCCGUAGCUGGUCUGGGAGGAUGAUCAGCCACACUGGAACUGAGAAACGGUCCAGACUCCUACGGGAGGCAGCAGUGGGGAAUAUUGGACAAUGGGCGCAAGCCUGAUCCAGCCAUACCGCGUGGGUGAAGAAGGCCUUCGGGUUGUAAAGCCCUUUUGUUGGGAAAGAAAUCCAGCUGGCUAAUACCCGGUUGGGAUGACGGUACCCAAAGAAUAAGCACCGGCUAACUACGUGCCAGCCGCCGCUGUAA